RNAcentral lists this ribosomal RNA (502 nucleotides) under uncultured bacterium. Its description in RNAcentral is "bacterial SSU rRNA". It matches the Rfam family "Bacterial small subunit ribosomal RNA", at positions 991 to 1485 of the family's 1533-position model. The record is from RNAcentral.
AUAGUAGAAGCCUGAAAGGGUGACGAGGUAGCAAUACCAGUGUACACAGGUGCUGCAUGGCUGUCGUCAGCUCGUGUCGUGAGAUGUUGGGUUAAGUCCCGCAACGAGCGCAACCCUUGCAUUUUGUUGCCACCUUCGCGCGAGCGAAGAGCACUCGAAAUGGACUGCCUCGCUUAAACGAGGAGGAAGGUGGGGAUGACGUCAAGUCAGUAUGGCCCUUACGGCUAGGGCUGCACACGUACUACAAUGCCUAGUACAAAGGGAAGCAAACCAGUAAUGGGGAGCGAAUCCUUAAAAGUAGGCCCAGUUCAGAUUGUCGUCUGCAACUCGACGGCAUGAAGCUGGAAUCGCUAGUAAUGGCGCAUCAGCUACGGCGCCGUGAAUACGUUCCCAGGCCUUGUACACACCGCCCGUCACAUCAUGAAAGCCGUCUGCACCCAAAGUCGUUAGACUAACCGCAAGGAGGUCUGCGCCUAAGGUAUGGGUGGUAAUUGGGAUGAAG